UAAAGCCUACGGGAGGCAGCAGGGGGGAAUAUUGCACAAUGGGGGAAACCCUGAUGCAGCGACGCCGCGUGAGUGAAGAAGUAUUUCGGUAUGUAAAGCUCUAUCAGCAGGGAAGAAGAAGGACGGUACCUGAGUAAGAAGCCACGGCUAACUACGUGCCAGAAGCCGCGAUAAUACGUAGGGGGCAAGCGUUAUCCGGAUUUACUGGGUGUAAAGAGAGCGUAGACGGCGAAGAAAGUCUGA
This 243-nucleotide ribosomal RNA is filed under the name uncultured bacterium. RNAcentral's name for it is "partial 16S ribosomal RNA". It matches the Rfam family "Bacterial small subunit ribosomal RNA", at positions 333 to 592 of the family's 1533-position model. The record is from RNAcentral.